Molecule: ribosomal RNA, 253 nt
Filed under: uncultured bacterium
Lineage: Bacteria
Description: partial 16S ribosomal RNA
Rfam family: Bacterial small subunit ribosomal RNA
Source: RNAcentral
GACGAACCGUGCGAACGUUGUUCGGAAUCACUGGGCUUAAAGGGCGCGUAGGCGGGUGUCCGAGUCCGGGGUGAAAGCCCCCAGCCUAACUGGGGAAGUGCCUCGGAUACCGGACGUCUCGAGGGAGGUAGGGGCAGGUGGAACUUCCGGUGGAGCGGUGAAAUGCGUUGAUAUCGGAAGGAACGCCGGUGGCGAAAGCGGCCUGCUGGAUCUCCACUGACGCUGAGGCGCGAAAGCCAGGGGAGCGAACGGG